RNAcentral lists this transfer RNA (69 nucleotides) under Marmota monax (woodchuck). RNAcentral's name for it is "tRNA.Leu". It matches the Rfam family "tRNA". Rfam says of the family: Transfer RNA (tRNA) molecules are approximately 80 nucleotides in length. Lineage: Eukaryota; Metazoa; Chordata; Mammalia; Rodentia; Sciuridae. The record is from RNAcentral.
GGGGUUGUGGCUCAGUGGUAGAGCACUUGCCUCAAAUGUGAGGCCCUGGGUUUGAUCCUCAGCACCACA